AUGAAGCUGAAGGUACAUUUUGUGUCUGUGGCUGCUGCACUGACCCUGAUGAAGCAUUAUUCGGAGACGAGGGAUGCAUCUGGUGUAAAUGAACAUGCGCCUGAGCCGAUGGUUGCUGCAGCUGUUGAUGUUGAUGCUGCUGAUGUUGAUGCUGCUGAUGUUGAUGCUGCUGCUGCUGCUGCUGCUGCUGCUGCUGCUGCUGCUGCUGAUGCUGCUGCAGCUGUUGAUGUUGCUGCUGCUGCUGAACUUCAGCGUGCUUCC
RNAcentral lists this long non-coding RNA (261 nucleotides) under Malassezia sympodialis ATCC 42132. Lineage: Eukaryota; Fungi; Basidiomycota; Malasseziomycetes; Malasseziales; Malasseziaceae. The record is from RNAcentral.